ACGACCUUACUUGAACAUGAUCUGUUCUAUAUGCUCGUACCGCUGCAUCCUUUACCAAUAAAGAGAGGACCAAAGAGAAUGCAGAAGACACGGACACACCACCAUUAUA
RNAcentral lists this small nucleolar RNA (109 nucleotides) under Aegilops tauschii subsp. strangulata. RNAcentral describes it as "snoRNA Plant_U3". The record is from RNAcentral. Lineage: Eukaryota; Viridiplantae; Streptophyta; Magnoliopsida; Poales; Poaceae.